This 460-nucleotide ribosomal RNA is filed under the name uncultured bacterium. Its description in RNAcentral is "partial 16S ribosomal RNA". It matches the Rfam family "Bacterial small subunit ribosomal RNA", at positions 338 to 795 of the family's 1533-position model. The record is from RNAcentral.
UCUACGGGAGGCAGCAGUGAGGAAUAUUGGUCAAUGGACGAGAGUCUGAACCAGCCAAGUAGCGUGAAGGAUGACUGCCCUAUGGGUUGUAAACUUCUUUUAUAUGGGAAUAAAAUGUUACACGUGUGGGCUUUUGUAUGUACCCUAUGAAUAAGGAUCGGCUAACUCCGUGCCAGAAGCCGCGGUAAUACGGAGGAUCCGAGCGUUAUCCGGAUUUAUUGGGUGUAAAGGGAGCGUAGGUGGAUUAGUAAGUCAGUUGGGAAAGUUUGCGGCUCAACCGGAAAAUUGCAGUUGAAACUGGCAGUCUUGAGUACAGUAGAGGUGGGCGGAAUUCGUGGUGUAGCGGUGAAAUGCUGAGAUAUCACGAAGAACACCGAUUGCGAAGGCAGCUCACUGGACUGCAACUGACACUGAGGCUCGAAAGUGUGGGUAUCAAACAGGAUUAGAUACCCUUGUAGUC